This is a long non-coding RNA of Fukomys damarensis (Damara mole-rat), 317 nucleotides long. RefSeq lists it as uncharacterized. The transcript is spliced from 3 exons. NCBI's taxonomy places the organism in Eukaryota, Metazoa, Chordata, Mammalia, Rodentia, Bathyergidae. The record is from RefSeq and is a predicted model, not a curated record.
CGCAAAUCCGCGAAGGGGUUGGGAGUUUGAUAAAAGAUCUUCAUCUCUGUCACAGCUUGGGCUUUAAGACUUUCCACAUUUCUUCACUUUGCUGUUUGGUGACAGCAUCUCCAGUCAAGACAGUCUGCAUUCCACCUACCCAUGCCCCUUCUUUUACUGGCACUGGGAUUGGGAUCACCAGGAGCUGCAUAUUCCAACACAGCAGUGGCAUGGCGUGGCAUGGUGUUUAACCUUCCUGAGAAGUUACAGCCCUACUGCCAUUUGCAGGCACAAACUCUCCCGGAAGUGGAGGAAACCAUUCUGUUAUUUAUUUAGAC